Molecule: ribosomal RNA, 468 nt
Filed under: uncultured bacterium
Lineage: Bacteria
Description: partial 16S ribosomal RNA
Rfam family: Bacterial small subunit ribosomal RNA
Source: RNAcentral
GGCGAACGCUGGCGGCGUGCUUAACACAUGCAAGUCGAACGGAAAGGCCCUGCUUUUGUGGGGUGCUCGAGUGGCGAACGGGUGAGUAACACGUGAGUAACCUGCCCUUGACUUUGGGAUAACUUCAGGAAACUGGGGCUAAUACCGGAUAGGAGCUCCUGCUGCAUGGUGGGGGUUGGAAAGUUUCGGCGGUUGGGGAUGGACUCGCGGCUUAUCAGCUUGUUGGUGGGGUAGUGGCUUACCAAGGCUUUGACGGGUAGCCGGCCUGGGAGGGUGACCGGCCACAUUGGGACUGAGAUACGGCACAGACUCCUACGGGAGGCAGCAGUGGGGAAUAUUGCACAAUGGGCGGAAGCCUGAUGCAGCAACGCCGCGUGCGGGAUGACGGCCUUCGGGUUGUAAACCGCUUUCGCCUGUGACGAAGCGUGAGUGACGGUAAUGGGUAAAGAAGCACCGGCUAACUACGUG